AGGGAGUUUGAUCCUGGCUCAGGAUGAACGCUAGCUACAGGCUUAACACAUGCAAGUCGAGGGGCAGCAUGGUCUUAGCUUGCUAAGACUGAUGGCGACCGGCGCACGGGUGAGUAACGCGUAUCCAACCUGGCCCUUAGUAGGGAACAGCCCGGCGAAAGUCGGAUUAAUGCCCUAUGUUUUCCAAUGAUGGCAUCUGACUUGGAACAAAGAUUCAUCGCUAAGGGAUGGGGAUGCGUCUGAUUAGCUUGUCGGCGGGGUAACGGCCCACCGAGGCGACGAUCAGUAGGGGUUCUGAGAGGAAGGUCCCCCACAUUGGUACUGAGACACGGACCAAACUCCUACGGGAGGCAGCAGUGAGGAAUAUUGGUCAAUGGGCGCGAGCCUGAACCAGCCAAGUAGCGUGCAGGAAGACUGCCCUAUGGGUUGUAAACUGCUUUUAUGCGGGAAUAAAGUCAGGUACGCGUACCUGUUUGUAUGUACCGCAUGAAUAAGGACCGGCUAAUUCCGUGCCAGCAGCCGCGGUAAUACGGAAGGUCCGGGCGUUAUCCGGAUUUAUUGGGUUUAAAGGGAGCGCAGGCGGGUGGUUAAGCGUGCUGUGAAAUGUACCGGCUCAACCGGUGACGUGCAGCGCGAACUGGCUAUCUUGAGUGGGUACGACGUCAGCGGAAUUCGUGGUGUAGCGGUGAAAUGCUUAGAUAUCACGAAGAACUCCGAUUGCGAAGGCAGCUGUCGAGUCCCUUACUGACGCUAAAGCUCGAAGGUGCGGGUAUCGAACAGGAUUAGAUACCCUGGUAGUCCCCU
Molecule: ribosomal RNA, 804 nt
Filed under: uncultured Bacteroidota bacterium
Lineage: Bacteria; Pseudomonadati; Bacteroidota
Description: bacterial SSU rRNA
Rfam family: Bacterial small subunit ribosomal RNA
Source: RNAcentral